GAUCAUGGCUCAGGAUGAACGCUAGCUACAGGCUUAACACAUGUAAGUCGAGGGGCAUCAGGAAGAAAGCUUGCUUUCUUUGCUGGCGACCGGCGCACGGGUGAGUAACACGUAUCCAACCUGCCCUUUACUCGGGGAUAGCCUUUCGAAAGAAAGAUUAAUACCCGAUGGCAUAAUGAUUCCGCAUGGUUUCAUUAUUAAAGGAUUCCGGUAAAGGAUGGGGACGCGUUCCAUUAGGUUGUUGGUGAGGUAACGG
This 256-nucleotide ribosomal RNA is filed under the name uncultured bacterium. RNAcentral's name for it is "partial 16S ribosomal RNA". It matches the Rfam family "Bacterial small subunit ribosomal RNA", at positions 15 to 263 of the family's 1533-position model. The record is from RNAcentral.